Molecule: long non-coding RNA, 852 nt
Filed under: Capsella grandiflora
Lineage: Eukaryota; Viridiplantae; Streptophyta; Magnoliopsida; Brassicales; Brassicaceae
Description: long non-coding RNA (CGRA_LNC000500)
Source: RNAcentral
CUCUCACACACCCUACACAUUCACCUAAUAAUAAUCUCUCUCACACACACCCUACACAUUCAUCUAAUUAUAACACACACACACACACAUGAGCCCUUCCACACACACGCACCCUAGACAUUCAUCUAUACAUAGAGAUUCUCUAGUCUACUAUAUUAUUAUACAUAGAGAUUUACUGGCGCACCAUUUAAGCGGAAGAUGAACAAACGUAUAGAACUAUAUAUAUCGACACACUAGGCAGACGAAUCAAGCUUCUGUCGUUUCACUGCCAUCUCUCUCUACACAGUCAAUCCUUUUUUUCCUCUGUUUCUUCCAACCUUCAUCAAAUAAACCCAACAACAAAAACAAACAAACCAUUUCAGACAUCAGUUAAUAUCAAAAAGGUUUUAUCAUAAUUAUUUUCUCAAUAAAAACUAACAAUCGUUCUACAUUUUAGGCAGAAAAAGGGCAGUAUAUCGAAACCAAAUUUUGAAACAUACUUUCUACUAUUCCCAACACAACGAUAUUUCUAAAAACAGUUUUGAAGACAACAUGUUUUCAAGUACUCCAUCUUAAACACCCACAAAACACGAGCUGGAUUUUUAAAACAUGCUCAUUUGAAAUAUUUCUCUAAACUAUAUAACAUAAUUCCAUAACACACUAGUUCUAGCUAGUUUAACAAAGAAAAUUAAAUUAAAUGAGCGGAGUCUUUCUCUUACCUUUUACGAUGAUGAUGCCUCUCUCUCUUUGUCUCUGAGCAAGUGAGAGGAAACUGGAAAAUGUUCGGAGUCGGUAACAGAACUUAGAAACAGAAAUUGUAAGAACUAGUGUGUGUAUGUGUAUGAGUUUUGAACUUUGAACGAACAAUGAGAG